RNAcentral lists this transfer RNA (62 nucleotides) under Actinomycetota bacterium. RNAcentral describes it as "Actinobacteria bacterium tRNA-Ser". Lineage: Bacteria; Bacillati; Actinomycetota. The record is from RNAcentral.
GGGAAUUGGCCCGAACCGCCUCGACAAGGCGGGGGUCACUGGUUCGAGUCCAGUAUCGCCCA